UUGAUUUCAGUUGUUUUACUUAAUUCCUUUCUUUCGUUGUCAAUUAUAUGCCUGUUUGUAUGUAGAGGGAGCAGCUUAUUUCUUCUACUUCUUCUUCUUCUUCUUUUUGUACCCACUGAUAUCUUUGUAUCAUAAUGGAAAACGAGACUGUAAGGCUGGCAUUUAGAUAAGCGAGUAAAAAGACUUUAAAAAACCAUCAUCACCAUCAUCGACAUCAGCAACAGCAACAGCAGCAGCAAGCUGAAUCAUUAUCAACGAUUUAUUGUGCUAUUGGCUUAUUGCGCUGCCUGGUUGACUAAAUGUAGCAAAGUGAAGAAUAAUUUUUUGCAUAAAACUUACAUAUUUUUUACAGCAAUGAUAAGCAGCACAUGGCAACUAAGUUUUGUAAAUUGUUAAAUUUUCUUUUAAUUUAGAAAUCUUAAGUGGAAAUUGGGAAAUAACUAAAUUUUUCUAAAAUUUAGUUUUAUUAUUCACCCCAAAUAAUUGCUAUUUAGCUACAAAUACGUUUAACAUAAAAACUCUUUAACUAUUUUUAAAUUAACAAUUUAACUUUUACAACUACCUGUAAUGUAACUCUACUGUUUUGUAAUUAAAUUUGGAAAAAAAAUAUCAAAAGGAAUGUGUUUGAUGCCACGCGCUGAUAAAAACGUAAAAAAAACAGAAACAUUAAACCAAAAAUAUCACAACACAAUCUUUAUUGAAACUUGUACAAUUUUAGUUUUUGUUUAUAAAAUUUUUGUCUAGUUUUUUUUUUUUUUAACUACCCACUCUAGUUUAAAUGUUGUUAUCGAUGAAGAAAAAAAAUUACUAUAAUUUUGGACAAAAUACCAGCACAUUUCAAUGACGACCUGCUUUCUAUCUUUAAAUAAAAAAAUGAAAAUUACUACAACUAUUAAAUAUUUAACAAAUUACUCAAACCAAAAA
Molecule: long non-coding RNA, 924 nt
Organism: Lucilia cuprina (Australian sheep blowfly)
Lineage: Eukaryota; Metazoa; Arthropoda; Insecta; Diptera; Calliphoridae
Exons: 3
Source: RefSeq, a predicted model, not a curated record